CCUACGGGGGGCAGCAGUCGAGAAUUAUUCACAAUGGGGGAAACCCUGAUGGUGCGACGCCGCGUGGGGGAAUGAAGGUCUUCGGAUUGUAAACCCCUGUCAUGUGGGAGCAAAUUAAAAAGAUAGUACCACAAGAGGAAGAGACGGCUAACUCUGUGUCAGCAGCCGCGGUAAUACAGAGGUCUCAAGCGUUGUUCGGAAUCACUGGGCGUAAGGCGUGCGUAGGCUGUUUCGUAAGUCGUGUGUGAAAGGCGCGGGCUCAACCCGCGGACGGCACAUGAUACUGCGAGACUAGAGUAAUGGAGGGGGAACCGGAAUUCUCGGUGUAGCAGUGAAAUGCGUAGAUAUCGAGAGGAACACUCGUGGCGAAGGCGGGUUCCUGGACAUUAACUGACGCUGAGGCACGAAGGCCAGGGGAGCGAAAGGGAUUAGAUACCCUGGUAGUC
RNAcentral lists this ribosomal RNA (446 nucleotides) under uncultured bacterium. RNAcentral describes it as "partial 16S ribosomal RNA". It matches the Rfam family "Bacterial small subunit ribosomal RNA", at positions 338 to 795 of the family's 1533-position model. The record is from RNAcentral.